GCCUAUAUGAAGUCGGAAUUGCUAGUAAUCGCAGAUCAGCAUGCUGCGGUGAAUACGUUCCCGGGCCUUGUACACACCGCCCGCCACACCAUGAGAGUCGAUAACACCCGAAGCCUGUAGUCUAACCAUAAGGGGGACGCAGUCGAAGGUGGGAUUGAUAAUUAGGGUGAAGUCGUAACAAGGUAAC
Molecule: ribosomal RNA, 187 nt
Filed under: uncultured bacterium
Lineage: Bacteria
Description: partial 16S ribosomal RNA
Rfam family: Bacterial small subunit ribosomal RNA
Source: RNAcentral